GGCGCGAGCGCAUGGCCGUCGUUCUCGAAGCGCACCUGGUACGCGGCGGGCAGGCCGGCUUCGGACGCCGCGCAGCGCACGAGCGCGAUCUCGAUCGUGCGCGCGGCCGCGCGCGCCGCGAGCGGGCCGUUGAAAUCGUACGAGACGCGCACGGGAUCGGCCGCCCGCGCGGGCCAGCUCACGCGCACGCGAUCGCCGCCCGCCGCGCCGGCCGCGUUCGGCGCGACGACGCGCGCGCCCACCGUGCCGUUGCCCGCGAACGCGGCCUCGAUCGCGGCGCGGCACGCGCGCGCCUGCGGCGCGGCGGCGUUGCCGUCGAACGCGAGCUCGACGACGCCGAGCGAGCUGUGCUUGCCGAACGCGACGAGCAUCACGCUCAUCAGCAGGAUCGGAAAGACGAACGUCCAGAAGAGCCGCGCCUUGCUGCGCAACUGCCCGAGCAACUCGUUGCGGGUGAGAAUCAGAAAAACCUCAAGCAUCGGUCGCUCCUUCGGUGCAUGCGCGCAGCAGGUCGCCUUCGUCGGUCGGCGCGAAUUCGAAAUGCCGGAUGCCCGCCUGCUCCAUCAGCGUGCGCAGCGCGGCGUCGAGCCCCGCGCGGCCGAACGCGCCGAUCUGCCGCGGCGCGGGCGCGACGAUCCGCUGCACGUGCGCGUCCCGCGCGAGCACCGCGCGCACGCGUUCGGCCUGCGCGUCGUCGUCGACGUGAAUCAGCGCGCGGAACUCGCCGACGAGACGGCGCUUGAGCGCGUCCUUGCCGCCCUGGUAGCGCAGCGUGCCGUCGCGCACCCACAGCACGUCGUCGGCGAUCGCGAGCUCUUCGCCCGCGUGGCAGAUCAUCGCGAUCGUGAUGCCCGCGAGCGGGCCGCGCAGCAGGCCGAGCACGCUGCGCGUCAUCGUGCGGUCGAGGCCGGUGAACGGUUCGUCGAGCGCGACGAGCGCCGGGCGAUGCGCGAACGCGAUGAACAGGUCGAGCCGCUGCCGCUGCCCCUUCGACAGCCCGCUGUACGGCUUCGCGCGCAGCUCGUCGAUCGCGAGCGCGCGGGCCACCGCGGCGUCCUGUUUGCGGUACAGCGCGCGGUGCACGGCGAGGAUCUCGUCGACACGCGCGUGCUCCGCGUAUUCGACGCGCUGCAAUUGCGCGCCGAAGCGCCGCAGCGCGCGCGUGUCGCGCAUGAAUCGCGCGGCGGGCACACCGAGGAUCGUCGCGCCCUCGAGCUGCGCGCGGCGAAAGCCGAACAGCGCCUCGAGCAGCGUGCUCUUGCCGGAGCCGUUCGGGCCGACGAUCGCGGUCAGCGCGCCGGUGCGAAACGCGAUGUCGGUGGCGUGGAACGUGAAGUCGCCCGCCUUCACGUCGAUGCGGCGCGCGGCGAGCGCGCUCGCCGCGCGGCCCGGCGUCGCGCCG
This 1402-nucleotide ribosomal RNA is filed under the name Burkholderia mallei FMH. RNAcentral describes it as "16S ribosomal RNA". Lineage: Bacteria; Pseudomonadati; Pseudomonadota; Betaproteobacteria; Burkholderiales; Burkholderiaceae. The record is from RNAcentral.